GAUAAAUCCAUUAAAAAUAUAAUACAAAUAUUGUUUCAGUAGAAUAAAUAGUAUUUUUAGACACAGCUUGGACACAGCAUUAUUUUUACAUUAAAAAAUUAUCACCUUGUUAUUUACAUGUGUUCAAACUGACAACAUUGACAGUGUGUCAUUUUCCGUUGUACUCGCAGCAUGUCCUGGCUCUUACAAUUUUCGAAUUUUCUGAUUUUCUGUGGAACAAGUGGUUUUUCUGUGCAUUAUAUUAGUUUAUGUUGUUCCUUAAGCCUUGUUACACCUCCUGAAAAUGAGCGUUAUUAAUACACCAUACCACACCGAUAAAUACCACCUAAAAGGAGAUACCUAGGUUACCCUUUAUCUAAUCCAGAUGUUUGGCCAUCAUUCUGAUUUACGAGAUUGGUUUUCUAUUAUAUAUGAUUGAAAAUUUUGUACAACAAAUCAAUGGAUGUAUGCAGUUCCAGGACAGUUAAUUGAUCCUUUUGAUGAAUAUUACCAAUAAUGAAUCAGGAAAUCAAUUUUCCUGCUCCUAUUGACCAGAUAUCUCUAUUUGUUUUUAAUACUUAAAACUUCUUUCCCAUUUUGCAUUUUGGCCUACCUCUCAUUUUUUUAUCUGUCAUAUUUUUUUACUAUUGGAAUAUCAUCAUUGUCAACUCUAUAAAUUCUUUCAGUGAUUGUCUUAAACAUUUACAUAUUUUUUGUCAUUCUUCUGAUUGUUUUCUAAUACAUAUUUCAUCAAUCUAUUGCCUGUAUAGAAUUAUAGCUUUUUUCCAUUUUUUCCAACUAUUUGUCCAAACUAAAAUUUAUUUAUUAUUUUAUUAUUAACGAUUUCCAACUAUUGUAUCCAAAAUAAUUCUAUAAUUUUUUGUGUCAUUCUUCUGAGACUUUAUCACUCAUUUUCAUGCAAUUUUUUUAAUUCCUCGUAUCUCUAUUUCUUUAUUUGUCUCCUAUAUUAUAUUCAUUGUAUGAAAUCUAUUAUUCUAUGUAUUACUGAAUUACCUGUCAUCAU
This is a long non-coding RNA of Sitophilus oryzae (rice weevil), 1003 nucleotides long. RefSeq lists it as uncharacterized. The record is from RefSeq and is a predicted model, not a curated record. Lineage: Eukaryota; Metazoa; Arthropoda; Insecta; Coleoptera; Curculionidae. The transcript has 3 exons.